GGUUGACCUCGGAUCAGGUAGGGAUACCCCGCUG
Molecule: ribosomal RNA, 34 nt
Filed under: fungal sp. 2.20.4G
Lineage: Eukaryota; Fungi
Description: partial 28S ribosomal RNA
Source: RNAcentral